UACAGAGGGGGCUAGCGUUGUUCGGAAUUACUGGGCGUAAAGGGCGCGUAGGCGGCCUGCUAAGUCGAACGUGAAAUCCCUGGGCUCAACCCAGGAACUGCGUCCGAUACUGGUUGGCUUGAAUCCGGGAGAGGGAUGUGGAAUUCCAGGUGUAGCGGUGAAAUGCGUAGAUAUCUGGAGGAAUACCGGUGGCGAAGGCGGCAUCCUGGACCGGCAUUGACGCUGAGGAGCGAAAGCCAGGGGAGCAAACGGG
Molecule: ribosomal RNA, 253 nt
Filed under: uncultured bacterium
Lineage: Bacteria
Description: partial 16S ribosomal RNA
Rfam family: Bacterial small subunit ribosomal RNA
Source: RNAcentral